UUCAAGUGCUUUUAUUAAGCAAUCAAGAGCAAGUCAAGAUUCAUUCAACAAAUAUGUAUUAACAAUUAUUUUGUGCUAGGUCUUGUGUAAGGUGUUGUGGUUACCAAGGUGAACGCCCCCAGUCUGGUAGAGAAGGCAGACACGAAGAUGCAUGAAGGCCGUGUGCAGUGGGCUCGGUGCUGUGACAGAGCCAGUUUAUGUUUCCUAGUGCUUCUCAAGACAGCCCGUCGUGCUUCUCAAGAACUGACCCCGUCCGAUUUCAGCCAACCUGCCUGGCAAGAUCUAGGCCGAGGCUAACGGUGUGUCUGGACAACACAGAACAAUUACCAGCAAGUGGGUGGCAACUGACUGGAGUAGUCCAGAGGUGUGCAGACUGGCAGAGGACGGCCGGCUCGGGCUCACAUGUUGCCCUAUGCAAAAUCACAGACUGCAUGGCCGCUCUUCGGCUCGCUCGAGAGAGGACCGCACGGCUGUGCACACACACCGGAAGCUUCAGUCCAUAGUGAGUUAGGUGGGAAGACGGAAUCUUGCAGAAGCUGGCCAGACCCCUCACAUGUGGUUUGGUAGAGGGGACAGUAAGCAGGGAGUUUGGAAAAGUGAGAGAGCUCUGUACACCAGAGGACAUCACAUUAAGCUAACCCGACGUCCCUACUCAAUUCUGCAGAGGGUCACCUGUGUACAGCUCUUUGCUUUUGAGUCUGACCCUGACUUUCACUGCUGACCCGUUCUAACUUUGGCAGGAAAGAGCAAGCACCAGGAUCGCUCUAAACAUCACAGCAAAAUACUGCACUCCCCUCGCAACGCCCACAAAUAACUUUUUUUUUUUUUUUUUAAGUAAUCUCUACACCCAACAUGGGGCUCAAACUCACGACCCUGAGAUCAAGAGUUGGACGUUUUACUGACUGAGCCAGCCGGGCGCCCCAAUAACCAUCUUUUUCUUUUCUUUCUUUUUUUUUUUAGGAACAAAAAAACCCUGAUUCCCCAAUCCUAACAUAUUUUAGAUCUGAGUCCCAAAGUGUGUUUUCAGCAGACUUGAUUUACUGUAACCAAAGUACAUUCUAACACAACCUUCUUUGGACUUGGCGUUUGCUUCUUUUUUAGAUUGGCAUUUUUAUUUUAAAAUAUUUUCUCAGUGGUUUCCUUUUCCUAGCCCAGAUGAAAACACGGCUUGACUUGAGCUUUUUAGCAAAUUAAAACAGGUUAUUCUUCUAGGAGCAGAGUUAAAUGUGUUCCCAGAGAGAUGCCAAAUGCCACUUUAUUUUUGGUUGCAGUUCUCUCAAGAGGGCCUUUUAAUAGUUCUUGGAGUGGGGAUGGUAAUCUCUGGAAACAGGAUAAACGGGGAGAAGAUUACCCUGCCCCAAGUCCUUUCUUUUCCUUUACACUUGAGGCAACUAUAUUAGAGGUUGGACGUAGUGAAUCUCACAGUUGAACUCGGAAUUACCUGCUGCUGCUACUAGAUUUUGUGUUGGGAUCAGGAAGACUUAAGAAGCGAAACCUAAUGAU
This 1503-nucleotide long non-coding RNA is filed under the name Ursus maritimus (polar bear). RNAcentral describes it as "lncRNA (ENSUMAG00000000526.1)". The record is from RNAcentral. Lineage: Eukaryota; Metazoa; Chordata; Mammalia; Carnivora; Ursidae.